This 927-nucleotide long non-coding RNA is filed under the name Callithrix jacchus (white-tufted-ear marmoset). RNAcentral's name for it is "lncRNA (ENSCJAG00000075684.1)". The record is from RNAcentral. Lineage: Eukaryota; Metazoa; Chordata; Mammalia; Primates; Cebidae.
GUGAAAGGUUUCCUGGAACCUCCCUAGAAGACCAGUCAUUUAUCUGCAGGGAAGCCCUGAAACAGCCUGAGAGUGUGUGCUUCUCAGGUAUAGUCAACGUGCAAAGAGCCCCAGGCACCCAUGCAAGAACCUUCCCUUGGGCCAUUUACUGAACACUGGGAAGACAACUACAGCCAAGUGGGCUGGAGGGAGAGCUCUUCUGGUCAAUGCCUUUUAAACAAUCAUCAGAAAAGCUUCAGCCAAACUUCCUGUGAACUUCCUUUAAUCACACAUCCUUUGGACUCAUUAAGUCUUAUCUGUGACAAAAGAUGAAGCCCAACAUUUCCUCUCCAGCUGAAGCUUUGGCUCAAGACUGUCCAAAGGACUGUUAACUCUUGAGCCUGGGCCAAGCUGAAGACUCGGCAGCAAUCAAAGCCAUGGCAAGGACAGAGAGCUGAGGAGUUCCUGGGUCACCAGGGCUUUCUCCAGCAGGAAGCUGGAGCAGCAGUAAUGACAUGGAUGCAGGAUUCAUGGGGGGUGGGGAGACUGGCCCAGAGCUGUGCAUAAGACAGAAAUUGUGUCACAAGCACUUGUAGGGCUGGGCUCACCUCUGGCAGCUGCUGCUGAGAUACAAGUGUGCUUGGAAAUUGUAAGCAUUUCAGACAUGGGUAAAUUCAAGCCAAGGACUCUUUGCCAGAGUUUUAAUUCUAUUCCUCUCUCUCCAUUCACAUUGUCAUGAUUCCUUCCCAACUGAAAAUUUUGACAUUCAUGUUGGAAAUAAAUUGAGGACCCACUGCCUGGGCUAUGGUGUUUUAGUGUUUUCUUUGACCUUGUGCCUACCGUACACAUUUAUGCCUCUGGGAUUGCUACCAUGUUGUGUGUGACGGUCGUCUGGCUGGAAGCUGCUUUGUGAAAUAGAGGUUCUGGUUCACUGUGUCCAUAUUGUGU